GCCGGGGUGGUGGAAUUGGUAGACACGCUUGACUUAGGAUCAAGUGCCUUUGGUGUGCAGGUUCGAGUCCUGUUCCCGGUA
RNAcentral lists this transfer RNA (81 nucleotides) under Verrucomicrobiales bacterium. RNAcentral describes it as "tRNA-Leu". It matches the Rfam family "tRNA". Rfam says of the family: Transfer RNA (tRNA) molecules are approximately 80 nucleotides in length. Their secondary structure includes four short double-helical elements and three loops (D, anti-codon, and T loops). Lineage: Bacteria; Pseudomonadati; Verrucomicrobiota; Verrucomicrobiia; Verrucomicrobiales. The record is from RNAcentral.